Long non-coding RNA from Acanthopagrus latus (yellowfin seabream), 1081 nucleotides. RefSeq lists it as uncharacterized. The transcript has 3 exons. The record is from RefSeq and is a predicted model, not a curated record. Lineage: Eukaryota; Metazoa; Chordata; Actinopteri; Spariformes; Sparidae.
UCUUGGCAUCCAGAAAGGAACAACAAGAACUCAGGUCCUGACCUAUAGCUUGUAAGUUACAAGAAAUCCAUCAUCAGAUUUCACUGGGAAGAGGAAAAGGUGUCGUCCUUAAUGUUGACUGGUAAACUGAGCAAGUCACCAGGUUAAACUGGCUCCUCCACUUUCCAAACAGGUACUUCAUACAAAAACCUUCAUUAUUUAGUAAAGACUUGAUAUCAGAACCAAAAGCCUUCAGAUUUAAGGUUUUUUUUGUUGCGGAAUUAUGCUGCAGGAAUCUUAAACAGACACGCAGGUGGUUCCUGAAUUAUGUAUCUAGAAACUGCUGUUUUAAAUUAGACUCUAGCUGGCAAAGCUAAACUCACACCUGUUUAUCCUGCGGAACUGGAAAUUAGAUGUACAGUAAGUCGAUCAACAAGUUUUUCAUAUUGCCGUUAGAAUAAACAGUAAUUGGUGAUCAGCCAAACUUUUCGAGUGCCUUUAUCAAGUUAAAAUCUCGCUUUGUCUAAUAGUUUAACUUGUGAUAGUGUUUAUUUUGUCAGGCUAAUGAAGACGAUGACUUAAUAUUUUCAUCAACUAACUGUUUUCCUCGACUAAGAUGACAAAAUGACAAGCGGGCGCCAAGAUGAUUAAAAACUAGCUGUAGCGAUAUUAGCAGGCACUUUUCUGUUGAUGAGACUAAACUGUGAAAUAAAAGUGUUUCUCUAUAUUUGUUUGAAUUAAAUAUCUUGGACUGUUUUCCUUUUUUUUGGUUCAGUGCAUCCGUUUCUCGUCGGCUGCUCCAGGCACCACAUCAGGACGAAACAAUGAACACAGUCAGGACUCAAAGGAUUAUUUCCGAUGUUCAAAGGGCAAGUUCGUCACGUGCUUCUGGUGACCAGAAACAGUCUCCCGCGGGACAGUCUGAGACUUCUUCGCUUCACACCGCACAGAACUGAGCCCGACAGGAUGCCGACAGCUGCUGUGGUUUCUGUGCAUCACUGCGUCUGUGGCUGCACUCACACCAGAUCUUUAACCUGCUGUGUUUUUUUUUUCUUCUCUUUUUGCCUGAAAACAAACGUUACUGCACUGAUCGCAGAUGAAC